UACAGAGGUCCCAAGCGUUACUGAGAAUCACUGGGUUUAAAAGGGUGCGUAGGUGGUCCGUUAAGUCAGUUGUGAAAUCCCCGGGCUCAACCCGGGAACUGCUUCUGAUACUGGCGGACUUGAGGCCAGUAGGGGUCACUAGAACUGACGGUGGAGCGGUGAAAUGCGUAGAGAUCAGGAAGAACACCCGUGGCGAAGCGGCCCACUGGGCCGGUACUGACGCCUGAGGCGCGAAGGCGUGGGGGAGCGAACGGG
RNAcentral lists this ribosomal RNA (255 nucleotides) under uncultured bacterium. RNAcentral describes it as "partial 16S ribosomal RNA". It matches the Rfam family "Bacterial small subunit ribosomal RNA", at positions 524 to 776 of the family's 1533-position model. The record is from RNAcentral.